AACGAACGCUGGCGGCAUGCCUAACACAUGCAAGUCGAACGAAGCCUUCUGGCUUAGUGGCUCACGUGUGCGUAACGCGUGGGAAUCUGCGCCUGUCUUCGGAAUAACAGUUAGAAAUGACUGCUAAUACCGGAUGAAGUCUUCGGACCAAAGAUUGAUCGGCAAGGGAUGAGCCGGCGUAGGAGUAGGUAGUUGGUGUGGUAAAGGCCUACCAAGCCGACGAUCCUUAGCUGGUCUGAGAGGAUGAUCAGCCACACUGGGACUGAGACACGGCCCAGACUCCUACGGGAGGCAGCAGUGGGGAAUAUUGGACCAUGGACGCAAGUCUGAUCCAGCCAUGCCGCGUGAGUGAUGAAGGCCUUAGGGUUGUAAAGCUCUUUUACCAGGGAUGAUAAUGACAGUACCUGGAGAAUAAGCUCCGGCUAACUACGUG
RNAcentral lists this ribosomal RNA (433 nucleotides) under uncultured bacterium. RNAcentral's name for it is "partial 16S ribosomal RNA". It matches the Rfam family "Bacterial small subunit ribosomal RNA", at positions 29 to 507 of the family's 1533-position model. The record is from RNAcentral.